GACGAACGCUGGUGGCGUGCUUAACACAUGCAAGUCGAACGGAAAGGCCCUGCUUUUGUGGGGUGCUCGAGUGGCGAACGGGUGAGUAACACGUGAGUAACCUGCCCUUGACUUUGGGAUAACUUCAGGAAACUGGGGCUAAUACCGGAUAGGAGCUCCUGCUGCAUGGUGGGGGUUGGAAAGUUUCGGCGGUUGGGGAUGGACUCGCGGCUUAUCAGCUUGUUGGUGGGGUAGUGGCUUACCAAGGCUUUGACGGGUAGCCGGCCUGAGAGGGUGACCGGCCACAUUGGGACUGAGAUACGGCCCAGACUCCGACGGGAGGCAGCAGUGGGGAAUAUUGCACAAUGGGCGGAAGCCUGAUGCAGCAACGCCGCGUGCGGGAUGACGGCCUUCGGGUUGUAAACCGCUUUCGCCUGUGACGAAGCGUGAGUGACGGUAAUGGGUAAAGAAGCACCGGCUAACUACGUG
This 468-nucleotide ribosomal RNA is filed under the name uncultured bacterium. RNAcentral's name for it is "partial 16S ribosomal RNA". It matches the Rfam family "Bacterial small subunit ribosomal RNA", at positions 28 to 507 of the family's 1533-position model. The record is from RNAcentral.